GGAACUGUGUGGAUUAAUUGCUUUGAUGUUUUUGAUGCUGCAAUUCCUUUUGGAGGGUACAAGAUGAGUGGCAUUGGCAGGGAGAAGGGAAUUUACAGUCUCAACAAUUACCUGCAAGUUAAAGCUGUGGUUUCACCAUUGAAGAAUCCUGCAUGGCUGUGAAUCACUGAAUUGCUCAUACUUCUAUCAUUUUGUUCUUUAAGAGUCCUUUUGUAAUUAUGACAUCAUUUUCCACUGAGGCAAUGGCAUGCAUAAUGAAGGGUUGACUUUAAAAUAUAAGGUUAAGUGAUUAUGCAGAAUGUUAAACUAUAAUAUUCCUUAUAUUCAGAGUCCAAACAAUACAAAUUUAUGAGAAAUGCAUGUUUUUUUAAUGCAUUUUAUUGGUAUUAAUUGUUAUUGAUAGAGAUUUCGCUUGAACUAAUAAAUAAGUUGUAACUCAAUUUUAUAGAGUUGAGUUAAGUUGAAAAUUGAGAUGUAAAUAAAAGUAAUGCGGAUCGGUCCUAUUGAAUGUAAUUCAUUUUUCUGUUUUUUUUUUUUUAAGGAAAAGACACUAAAAGGGAGAGAAACACAAACAGCUUAAGCACCGUUGCAGAAAUUGAUGAUCUAGUCACACCACCUGUGGAAAUAAGAUACACUAAAAAUCUAAUAAAUGGGGAGUUUGUGGAUGCUGUGUCAGGAAAAACAUUUCCUACAUAUGACCCGCGAACUGGGGAAGUGAUUGCUAACGUUGCUGAAGGUGACCAAGAAGAUAUCAAUCGUGCAGUGUCUGCAGCUCGAAAGGCUUUUGAUGAGGGACCAUGGCCAAAGAUGACCCCUUAUGUAUGAACUUCCCCUGCCUCCUACAUCUUUGGUUUCAUAUUGCAAUUACAAAUCCAAUGCGAUUAUUGAAAGACUUUAUAGAUAGAGAUUUUUAUACUAUCUUUCAAUAGAAAAGGUUAUUAAUAUAACUUUUAUAGUAAUUAUUAAAAAAUCAACAAUGAUACAAUAUACGAGAAUUUAUGAUUAAAUGGUUAAUUCUUGAUACUUAAUAGCCUAAAAAUUAUUUAGGCUUAACUGUAUUAUUUGUUAUUUGUAAAUGUUGUCAUCAAAUUUUUGAAAUUGUACAUUUUAUUUCUCAAAUUUUAAAAUUUUAAACAUUUUGUUAUUUCAUUAAUUGUCUAUUUGAUUUUGUUAUGUGAUAUGACAUUUUAAUAUAUUAUAUCAUAUUAUCAUCUCUAUGUUACAUCAAUAAUUAAUGUAACAUGUCAAUAAUCAAUAUUUUACAUUAAUAAUAGUGUUAUACUAUUAACUAUGUGUCAAAACAUGUGAAAUUUUAAAAAUUAGGUGACAAAAUGUACAAUUUUAGAAGUUAGGUAACAAAUUGCAAAAAGUGAAAUUAAGGGCAUCUCUAAUGCAAGUAACUCAUUUGAAUUGCUUCAUGCAUUAAAAAAUGAAAAAAGUAGUCUCUAGUGUGUCAUGUCAACAUUAAGCAACUCAAUCACAAAUUUACAUCGAUGGUAAGAAACUUUAAGAAAUUCAACUUUUAUAAUUUUUUUUCUAAUCAUUUAUGAACCAAAUUUAAAUUUUUAUUAAAAAAGAUAAUUACACUACCAUGAAAGAAAAUAAAUUACGAGAAAAAAUACACAAUAAGUAGAUAUUAAAAAUAAAAUAAAACAAUAGUAAAUACAUAAACAAUAUAAGAAAUUAAUUUUCAUCAUUAUUAUUUUCGAAAUGUUCUCAAAUAUGUUUAAUAAGAUCUGCUUGAAAUCUGGUAAGGAAUGGUUACUUGAGGAAGCAACUCUCUCUCUUCUUCAAGCAACUCAUGUUGCCACGUCAGAAUCUUCCAAUGACAAGAAACCGGGACUUGAGUUAAUUCAUGGGACAAGCAACUCCUAUUGGAAUUGCUCUAAGUCAAAUAUUACAUUAUGAGAUGAUUCUAAUUAAAUUCUUAUUAAAAUUAAAAAUAAA
Cajanus cajan (pigeon pea) is the source of this 1947-nucleotide non-coding RNA. The record is from RefSeq and is a predicted model, not a curated record. NCBI's taxonomy places the organism in Eukaryota, Viridiplantae, Streptophyta, Magnoliopsida, Fabales, Fabaceae.